UGGGGAAUAUUGCACAAUGGGGGAAACCCUGAUGCAGCGACGCCGCGUGAACGAAGAAGGUAUUCGUAUCGUAAAGUUCUGUCCUAUGGGAAGAUAAUGACAGUACCAUAGAAGAAAGCUCCGGCUAAAUACGUGCCAGCAGCCGCGGUAAUACGUAUGGAGCGAGCGUUGUCCGGAAUUAUUGGGCGUAAAGGGUACGCAGGCGGUUUAAUAAGUCGAAUGUUAAAGAUCGGGGCUCAACCCCGCAAAGCAUUGGAAACUGAUAAACUUGAGUAGUGGAGAGGAAAGUGAAAUUCCUAGUGUAGUGGUGAAAUACGUAGAUAUAAGGAGGAAUACCAGUAGCGAAGGCGACUUUCUGGACACAAACUGACGCUGAGGUACGAAAGCGUGGGGAGCAAACAGG
This 403-nucleotide ribosomal RNA is filed under the name bacterium. RNAcentral describes it as "partial 16S ribosomal RNA". It matches the Rfam family "Bacterial small subunit ribosomal RNA", at positions 355 to 776 of the family's 1533-position model. The record is from RNAcentral.